AGACAAUCAGCGUGUGUGUGGCGGAUUGUGUCUGCCUGGCUGUGUCAAAGGGUGCUGUGCCAGAAUGAUAGAAGCCUGGGGAAAUUGCCCUUGGCCUCCUCAGCCGGGUGGACAAAGCCUGUGGGACUAUGACUGCACCCCAUCCAAGGAGGCCCAGAAGGAUGACUGAGGCUGGUGGUCAAGACGUCAGAGGCUUGCACAACCACGCGUUUGACAAACCCAUUGGUUGGGUGGAGUAAGCAACUGCAGAAUGUAUGGCCCCGCAGACUGCUCCGAGUCCCCAGAAGUCACCUAUGGCCUCCGGACCUCGAGCCGCGGUCCCGACUUCCCCUCGUCCCCAGGGAGUUUGGUCUCGUCCUGGCGCAGACCCUGGGAGCGCGUCCGCGUCGUCAUGGCGACGGGCAGAGCGGGCGCUGGCUCCCGCGAAUCCAGCCCGGGAACCAGCUCCAGUGUGAGCCGCCUGGGACCUGGGGCGCGGGGUGGCUCUCUUGGCCGCCGUCGAGCUGCUGAGGCCGCCUGAGCUCCAGGAAAUGACCCUUGGCUCUAAAAAGAGGACCCCAUUUUUCGUGAUAAAAUGGCACCAGUGAAAACCCCCAGCAGAAAACCAAAGAAUGCUGAGGAACCGUUUAAUAAUGUCUCGCCCGUCCUUUUUGAAGAGUCUAGUGGAGAAGCCCAAGGGAAGAACAGAAGUACCUAAUCACCUCCUAGAAUCAA
RNAcentral lists this long non-coding RNA (714 nucleotides) under Equus asinus (donkey). Its description in RNAcentral is "lncRNA (ENSEASG00005029501.1)". Lineage: Eukaryota; Metazoa; Chordata; Mammalia; Perissodactyla; Equidae. The record is from RNAcentral.